UCACAAGGUUUCACGCAUUUGUGCGCCU
This 28-nucleotide small RNA is filed under the name Bombyx mori (domestic silkworm). RNAcentral describes it as "ovarian small RNA-6819". The record is from RNAcentral. Lineage: Eukaryota; Metazoa; Arthropoda; Insecta; Lepidoptera; Bombycidae.